RNAcentral lists this ribosomal RNA (439 nucleotides) under uncultured bacterium. RNAcentral's name for it is "partial 16S ribosomal RNA". It matches the Rfam family "Bacterial small subunit ribosomal RNA", at positions 339 to 795 of the family's 1533-position model. The record is from RNAcentral.
CUACGGGCGGCACCAGUGGGGAAUAUUGGACAAUGGGCGCAAGCCUGAUCCAGCAAUGCCGCGUGAGUGAUGAAGGCCCUAGGGUUGUAAAGCUCUUUUACCCGGGAAGAUAAUGACUGUACCGGGAGAAUAAGCCCCGGCUAACUCCGUGCCAGCAGCCGCGGUAAUACGGAGGGGGCUAGCGUUGUUCGGAAUUACUGGGCGUAAAGAGCACGUAGGCGGCUUUGUAAGUCAGAGGUGAAAGCCUGGAGCUCAACUCCAGAACUGCCUUUGAGACUGCAUCGCUUGAAUCCAGGAGAGGUCAGUGGAAUUCCGAGUGUAGAGGUGACAUUCGUAGAUAUUCGGAAGAACACCAGUGGCGAAGGCGGCUGACUGGACUGGUAUUGACGCUGAGGUGCGAAAGCGUGGGGAGCAAACAGGAUUAGAUACCCCCGUAGUC